UGAUUGAUUUGACUCCUCCUUCUGAAGUCCCAGGCCAGGUAAUGCAAGGGGGGAGGGGAGGGAAGAAGCAGAAAUUCAAAGAUCAAAAGAGAAAGUGUCAAGUUCUCCAGAAUAAGAGAAAGAGCACAGAGAGUAGAAAAUGGACAGCUUCCCUCCUCCCCCCCCUACUCUUUAACAGCACAACAUUAUUCCAUUACCAAUAUGUCAUGGGAUCUUUGCAACCAUCCUGUGAAGUGGGAGUUAUUGUUUUCCUCAUUUUAGUUAGCCUGAGAUGCUAUAUGGAACAAUAUAAUACAGUUUUCUAUAAGCAAAAAAGCAAAAUUCAAAUUAAACAGAUUCACAAUCUGCGACAUAAAGGAAUAAGAAGCAUGUUGAACUCAAAGAGUUCCAGUUGUUCUGCAGGACUUAUUCUGCUUAUGUGA
Molecule: long non-coding RNA, 422 nt
Filed under: Monodelphis domestica (gray short-tailed opossum)
Lineage: Eukaryota; Metazoa; Chordata; Mammalia; Didelphimorphia; Didelphidae
Description: lncRNA (ENSMODG00000033695.2)
Source: RNAcentral